AAGCUGGAAUCGCUAGUAAUCGCGAAUCAGAAUGUCGCGGUGAAUACGUUCCCGGGUCUUGUACACACCGCCCGUCACACCAUGGGAGUCGGAAAUGCCCGAAGUCGAGUGACCCAACCACAACGUGAACUUCGUUCGCGUGGAGGGAGCUGCCGAAGGUGGAGCCGGUAACUGGGGUGAAGUCGUAACAAGGUACC
Molecule: ribosomal RNA, 197 nt
Filed under: uncultured bacterium
Lineage: Bacteria
Description: partial 16S ribosomal RNA
Rfam family: Bacterial small subunit ribosomal RNA
Source: RNAcentral